UACGUAGGGGGCAAGCGUUGUCCGGAAUUAUUGGGCGUAAAGCGCGCGCAGGCGGUUAUUUAAGUUGGGUGUUUAAUCCCGGGGCCCAACCUCGGGUCGCACCCAAAACUGGAUAACUUGAGUGCAGAAGAGGAGAGUGGAAUUCCACGUGUAGCGGUGAAAUGCGUAGAUAUGUGGAGGAACACCAGUGGCGAAGGCGACUCUCUGGGCUGUAACUGACGCUGAGGCGCGAAAGCCAGGGGAGCAAACGGG
RNAcentral lists this ribosomal RNA (252 nucleotides) under uncultured bacterium. RNAcentral describes it as "partial 16S ribosomal RNA". It matches the Rfam family "Bacterial small subunit ribosomal RNA", at positions 524 to 776 of the family's 1533-position model. The record is from RNAcentral.